Molecule: long non-coding RNA, 733 nt
Organism: Dendrobium catenatum
Lineage: Eukaryota; Viridiplantae; Streptophyta; Magnoliopsida; Asparagales; Orchidaceae
Exons: 2
Source: RefSeq, a predicted model, not a curated record
AAAUGAAAAUUUUAUUUUGAUGAUUCUCUUUGUGAGUUCAUGAAGCCUCUAAAGAUCUCUUUGUGAGUUCUUGAAGAGGAGUUUGCCGGAGAUCUCUUUGUGAGUUCUACCGGUGGCGUGGUGCAAGCCACCAAACUCCUGCACAAGAGCUCCACGUUCCAUCUGUCCCAGAUAUCCAAUUUGCUGGUGUUCCCCUUCUCAGCUUGCUGCCAAGAAGAACCAACCCAGUUUUCUCACUGCUCUGUGGCCUGAAGUCACCCCGGUUGCUGUCCCGAAGCCCUCCAAGGGCUAUUACAGGUUUUCUGCCAUUACAAAUGCUGUCCAGUGAAUUGGAGAGAUCACCAUUGCAGCCCACUGUCCACUAGUAUCAAAUUCAGCAAGCAUAAUUGUCCGGGAUGACGUCGUAGUUGCUGUCCAACAAUUCUGCAGGAUUCCUUGCACCACACCCUCACCCGGGAGGCCCCAAUCGAUGUCCAGAAUUCCAUACUCCGGCCACCUAUCCAAGAACGACGAUCUUAGGUACCUUCUUCCUCGGAGUGACCUCGGUUCUAAUGUGGAGACUCUUCUUCCGCUAAAGCCUAGACUAGUUGAGCGUAUGGACUCCAAAGGUGAAAAUUCUCAUUAUUAAAUCGUGGACUCUUGUUUAUUGUCGUAGUUUUACAAUUAUUCUUUGUGUAUUCUUGAAUUGUUUGGUUGAUUGAUUGCGCUCUUCUUUGCCUAAGCAAGUUAAAAA